GGCAGGGUAGCUUAGCUGGUUAAAGCAUCGGAUUCAUAAACCGAAGAGCGAGGGUCCGAAUCCCUCCCCUGCUACAA
This 77-nucleotide transfer RNA is filed under the name bacterium. RNAcentral describes it as "tRNA-Met". It matches the Rfam family "tRNA". Rfam says of the family: Transfer RNA (tRNA) molecules are approximately 80 nucleotides in length. Their secondary structure includes four short double-helical elements and three loops (D, anti-codon, and T loops). RNAcentral also lists the same sequence under 2 other names. The record is from RNAcentral.